RNAcentral lists this ribosomal RNA (179 nucleotides) under Reishia clavigera. RNAcentral's name for it is "partial large subunit ribosomal RNA". Lineage: Eukaryota; Metazoa; Mollusca; Gastropoda; Neogastropoda; Muricidae. The record is from RNAcentral.
UAUCGAGCUUUAAAGAAUUUAGUAGAUUUACCAUAUAUUAAUAAAAAAGUAAAGCAACUAAAUAUUUUGGUUGGGGCGACUGAGGAACAAACAAAGCUUCCUUUAUGCUAAUUAAAACUUACAAGUAUUGAUCCAAUUUAUUUGAUUAAAGAAAUUAGUUACCGUAGGGAUAACAGCGC